GUGCUCGCUUCAGUAGCACAUAUACUAAAAUUGGAACAAUACAGAGAAGAUUAGCAUGACCCCUGCACAAGGAUGACACGUAAAUUCAUGAAGCGUUCCAUAUUUUU
This 107-nucleotide small nuclear RNA is filed under the name Equus asinus (donkey). The record is from RNAcentral. Lineage: Eukaryota; Metazoa; Chordata; Mammalia; Perissodactyla; Equidae.